GAAUUCCGGAGAAGUUGAAGGGGAAUCAGCUAAGUCUCUUACUUUUAGGGUCAUCUGCCACCAGUAGUUACAAGAAUGGCUGGAAAGUGAUGCACCUCAGAAAAGCUUAAGAGUGGCUUUUGGGCAGCAACCUGCCAUGGGAAACAGGGACCAUCAGGGAGCUACAACUGUGCAACAGCCAACGUGAUGCUGCCCUGUUCCUGUAUGGUUACGAAGUAACAUCUCAGUUUCUAGAACUUUCUGCUAUGGGACAGUCACAGACACAGUGAGAACUCAAGACCCAGGAAGCCCUACAGUUUCAAAUGUUGCCACGUGCUCCAGGCCUGAGGGAGGAGCAGCAGUCACUGGACCUGUCUGGCGAGAAGAUGUCAGGGUGAGAGUAGCUUAAUUCCAGCUUAAAUUCUGGUGAAGCUGUCAAGCUCGGACUCCAUCGUCCUCUGAGAUCUAUGCAGUUCUAAGGGAGGGCUCCAUGUCCCGGUGCUUGCAUAGACUCAGCGCUCGGCACACUCUGGGGUCUACAGUGUUGGGAAUUUCUAAAGCCGGCUCCACUCUGUGAUUUUUUUCUUUUAAAUGACUUAUUUUCAACACUCAUCGGAAUGACUUCUUUGGAAGAAAGCUGAGCUGGCCCACAGAAUAGGAUUGUUUCAUCCAUGUUUGUCUCUAGAUUCAUGGUCUUAUUUGUGACCUACCCUUUCCUGGUGAUUUUAUAUUUUAAUAUUCUCAACCAUCGUGAAGUACAAAUCUGACGCCAAACUUAAAGCGCAUGCUAAGUACGUCUUAGAAGAGUCAAACACAUUUACCUCCGUGAUAGUUAUCAACAUUUUCAUGUAGUCUAUGAUACGCCAGUCUAUGGCUAUAUCAACAGCAACAUGGCAAAUAAAAGCUUUCAAAUUAUUAUGGUAAGAUUUUAUUUUUAUGGUGAGAACAGGUAAUGAUGACAGGUAUUGAUUUUAUGGGAGGGGGAGGGGUAAUCAUCUUCAUAUAAAUUCUACAGAAAGGUGACCAACCUCACUAUAACUGAAAAUAUGAGUUUGUGACCUAUAGUUAGUUGUAAAUUUUAAGUGACUUAAUAAUGGCUAUGAUUUCUUACUUUUCUUAGCCACUGUAGGCACAGACUUGUGCUGUUCAA
Long non-coding RNA from Mus musculus (house mouse), 1129 nucleotides. RefSeq annotates it as predicted gene, 36702. The record is from RefSeq and is a predicted model, not a curated record. The transcript has 3 exons. Lineage: Eukaryota; Metazoa; Chordata; Mammalia; Rodentia; Muridae.